Molecule: ribosomal RNA, 453 nt
Filed under: Triticum aestivum (bread wheat)
Lineage: Eukaryota; Viridiplantae; Streptophyta; Magnoliopsida; Poales; Poaceae
Description: partial small subunit ribosomal RNA
Source: RNAcentral
AUGGGCGACGGUAAGUCUGCUGUGGUGGACAGUGUGGAAGGAAAAUUGAGAAAUCUAAACCUCUCAGAUGCAGAAAAGAGAAGCAUCAAAAUUGGGAAGAAACAGGCUUGUUCCCCUGAGGUGAGUAAGUUUCAAGCAGUGGGUAAACUCCUGUCUGGAAAACCGGCAAAAGCAGAGUUUUUGGGUAGAGCUUUGAGUGGUGUUUGGUGCCCCUUUUUGAGAGUAGAAUGCAAGGGCUUGGGUAAGAAUAGAUUCUUGUUCCGGUUCCAAGAUGAUGUGAGCAAGAACAAAGAACUAAGGGGCGGACCGUGGAUGUUUAACAAAGACCUACUGGUGAUGGAAGAUUUUGUGCCAAGCAAAACUAUAGAUGAUUAUGAUUUUAAGUCGAUUCCCAUAUGGGUGAGAGCUUACGGCGUACCAAUGGGAAUGAUGAGCUUAGAAACAGGGGAAUUG